RNAcentral lists this ribosomal RNA (1370 nucleotides) under uncultured bacterium. Its description in RNAcentral is "bacterial SSU rRNA". It matches the Rfam family "Bacterial small subunit ribosomal RNA", at positions 28 to 1381 of the family's 1533-position model. The record is from RNAcentral.
GAUGAACGCUGGCUUCGUGCCUAAUACAUGCAAGUCGAGCGAACGGACGAGAAGCUUGCUUCUCUGAUGUUAGCGGCGGACGGGUGAGUAACACGUGGAUAACCUACCUAUAAGACUGGGAUAACUUCGGGAAACCGGAGCUAAUACCGGAUAAUAUUUUGAACCGCAUGGUUCAAAAGUGAAAGACGGUCUUGCUGUCACUUAUAGAUGGAUCCGCGCUGCAUUAGCUAGUUGGUAAGGUAACGGCUUACCAAGGCAACGAUGCAUAGCCGACCUGAGAGGGUGAUCGGCCACACUGGAACUGAGACACGGUCCAGACUCCUACGGGAGGCAGCAGUAGGGAAUCUUCCGCAAUGGGCGAAAGCCUGACGGAGCAACGCCGCGUGAGUGAUGAAGGUCUUCGGAUCGUAAAACUCUGUUAUUAGGGAAGAACAUAUGUGUAAGUAACUGUGCACAUCUUGACGGUACCUAAUCCAAAAGCCACGGCUAACUACGUGCCAGCAGCCGCGGUAAUACGUAGGUGCAAGCGUUAUCCGGAAUUAUUGGGCGUAAAGCGCGCGUACGGGUUUUUUAAGUCUGAUGUGAAAGCCCACGGCUCAACCGUGGAGGGUCAUUGGAAACUGGAAAACUUGAGUGCAGAAGAGGAAAGUGGAAUUCCAUGUGUAGCGGUGAAAUGCGCAGAGAUAUGGAGGAACACCAGUGGCGAAGGCGACUUUCUGGUCUGUAACUGACGCUGAUGUGCGAAAGCGUGGGGAUCAAACAGGAUUAGAUACCCUGGUAGUCCACGCCGUAAACGAUGAGUGCUAAGUGUUAGGGGGUUUCCGCCCCUUAGUGCUGCAGCUAACGCAUUAAGCACUCCGCCUGGGGAGUACGACCGCAAGGUUGAAACUCAAAGGAAUUGACGGGGACCCGCACAAGCGGUGGAGCAUGUGGUUUAAUUCGAAGCAACGCGAAGAACCUUACCAAAUCUUGACAUCCUUUGACAACUCUAGAGAUAGAGCCUUCCCCUUCGGGGGACAAAGUGACAGGUGGUGCAUGGUUGUCGUCAGCUCGUGUCGUGAGAUGUUGGGUUAAGUCCCGCAACGAGCGCAACCCUUAAGCUUUGUUGCCAUCAUUAAGUUGGGCACUCUAAGUUGACUGCCGGUGACAAACCGGAGGAAGGUGGGGAUGACGUCAAAUCAUCAUGCCCCUUAUGAUUUGGGCUACACACGUGCUACAAUGGACAAUACAAAGGGCAGCGAAACCGCGAGGUCAAGCAAAUCCCAUAAAGUUGUUCUCAGUUCGGAUUGUAGUCUGCAACUCGACUACAUGAAGCUGGAAUCGCUAGUAAUCGUAGAUCAGCAUGCUACGGUGAAUACGUUCCCGGGUCU